RNAcentral lists this ribosomal RNA (759 nucleotides) under uncultured Stenotrophomonas sp. RNAcentral's name for it is "bacterial SSU rRNA". It matches the Rfam family "Bacterial small subunit ribosomal RNA", at positions 28 to 776 of the family's 1533-position model. Lineage: Bacteria; Pseudomonadati; Pseudomonadota; Gammaproteobacteria; Lysobacterales; Lysobacteraceae. The record is from RNAcentral.
AGUGAACGCUGGCGGUAGGCCUAACACAUGCAAGUCGAACGGCAGCACAGGAGAGCUUGCUCUCUGGGUGGCGAGUGGCGGACGGGUGAGGAAUACAUCGGAAUCUACUCUGUCGUGGGGGAUAACGUAGGGAAACUUACGCUAAUACCGCAUACGACCUACGGGUGAAAGCAGGGGAUCUUCGGACCUUGCGCGAUUGAAUGAGCCGAUGUCGGAUUAGCUAGUUGGCGGGGUAAAGGCCCACCAAGGCGACGAUCCGUAGCUGGUCUGAGAGGAUGAUCAGCCACACUGGAACUGAGACACGGUCCAGACUCCUACGGGAGGCAGCAGUGGGGAAUAUUGGACAAUGGGCGCAAGCCUGAUCCAGCCAUACCGCGUGGGUGAAGAAGGCCUUCGGGUUGUAAAGCCCUUUUGUUGGGAAAGAAAUCCAGCUGGUUAAUACCCGGUUGGGAUGACGGUACCCAAAGAAUAAGCACCGGCUAACUUCGUGCCAGCAGCCGCGGUAAUACGAAGGGUGCAAGCGUUACUCGGAAUUACUGGGCGUAAAGCGUGCGUAGGUGGUUAUUUAAGUCCGUUGUGAAAGCCCUGGGCUCAACCUGGGAACUGCAGUGGAUACUGGAUGACUAGAAUGUGGUAGAGGGUAGCGGAAUUCCUGGUGUAGCAGUGAAAUGCGUAGAGAUCNNGAGGAACAUCCAUGGCGAAGGCAGCUACCUGGACCAACAUUGACACUGAGGCACGAAAGCGUGGGGAGCAAACAGG